GAAGUAGAAGUAACCACCGUCCUUUCUAUACACGUCUCCAUUUCUUUCCUCUCCUUUUCCUUCCCCUCCAAAUGCCAACCCAAACUCCACCCAAGCUGCAGCUAAUCAAAUCAUCCAUCAACUACUACUAUCUCCCGAUUAGAAAAAAAAGAAAGAAAUCAGGAAGAAAUCGCCCAUGGCGAAAGAAAAAAGAAUUCUUGUAGAGAAAAAAGGGGGACAAAACCCAGAGCGAUUUCUUGGUUGCCAGAGACCUGCAGACACGCGGCACGGAACAUCCGCCGCACGUUUUUGUCGCAGAUUCGUGUUCUUGAUGCUUCCCGGCUGCUGUUCUUGAUGGGAUGGAUGCGGUUCUUGGCGUCUCUGCUGAGUGCUGAGAUGUUUUGCAGCUCUUAAGAUGAUUUUUUUUAUCCGAUUUGGUUAUUUGAUUCUCUUAUCUUGGUAUGGUUUUCAACUUUGAAUGUAUUCGCCUAUUUAGCAUAGAACUUCGAAUGUAUUUGCCUAUUUUAGAAGAGAACUGACAGGAUUUCUUGAUAGAUUUUCCUCCACCUGAUUGAGGAGUGUAAUUUGGACAGUGAUGGAUCCUUCUGACGGGGAACUCCUAAUCUCCUUUUGUCAAGAGGCAAUCCUCUGGCAGAUGCUGUUCUGAUUGAUUGUUUGGUCACUCAACAACGCAAAUCAUGGGCAUCUUGUGGCUAUCUAGGGUUGGAUUUGGGGCUACACCAUUUCUUCUUCAUAGAUCUUUGUUUUCGCAAAUCUUGCAAUCUCUUUUAGCCUUUUCUGGAGGAUGACUAUGGUAGAGAUUGUUCUAAAUUCUUGGUUUGAUUUUUCUUGGAUUUAUUAGUUGAUCUUGUGAAUUGCAUUUCCCCUUCAUUCAAGCUUCCCAAAGUUCUACUGGUUGGUUAGUUAUUCAGAUUUGAUUUGAUUCUUUUUACUUAUCAGCAACUUGGGUUGAUUUCAGAUGAGAACUACAUGGUGGAUUGGCUCAUGAUAGUGCAAAUCAUUGGCUGAGAUGAGGAAAGGCAUGUUCAUCGACUCCAAGAUUGUUCACACCAAAUGUCAGGCAUCUGAACAAGACAGUCACCCUUAAGAACGAAACAGCUUCUUGCUCAACUCAAACGGGAUAGUUCUGGUGGAGAAGGUUCAACCUUAAUUAUGCAGUAUUGCUUCAGCAAUUGUUUUACACGGCAUCAGCGCCUCCAAGCAUGUGGCCACCAUCAACAGCCAUAGCGUCUGCAUAGUUUGCUUGAUGCUGGCUCCCAGCAUAUGGUGCAUUCCUUCGCACACGAUUGUGCUCAUCUGAUUUCAACAAAACAGGAAAAGGCUUGUCACAUAUACAUGGCAGAAUGUUCAUUUGUAAUGUUGAUAUCUCAGUUAUCAAGACAUUUUUUGCCCUACUAAUGCUUAUUGCACAUGUACGGGAUACCAUAAUUUGUAACCAUUUGGCCAUAGAUGUAAAAUGCGGACUGCAAAAAAAACAUUGGUGUUGUGGCCGACGAUAUUUCCGACGAAACGUUCAUUGAGUUA
This is a non-coding RNA of Oryza sativa Japonica Group (Japanese rice), 1524 nucleotides long. The record is from RefSeq and is a predicted model, not a curated record. NCBI's taxonomy places the organism in Eukaryota, Viridiplantae, Streptophyta, Magnoliopsida, Poales, Poaceae.